Molecule: ribosomal RNA, 298 nt
Filed under: uncultured Bacteroidota bacterium
Lineage: Bacteria; Pseudomonadati; Bacteroidota
Description: uncultured Bacteroidetes bacterium partial 16S ribosomal RNA
Rfam family: Bacterial small subunit ribosomal RNA
Source: RNAcentral
GAGUUUGAUCUUGGCUCAGGAUGAACGCUAGCGGCAGGCCUAAUACAUGCAAGACGAACGGUAAGUGGUGUAGCAAUACAUCACCUAGAGUGUCGUAAGGGUGCGUAACGAGUAUGCAAUCUGCCCUCAACAGGAGGAUAGCUCGCCGAAAGGCGAAUUAACACUCCAUAGGAUGGUAGGGAGGCAUCUCCUAGUCAUUAAAACUACGGUGGUUUCGGAUGAGCAUGCGGAUGAUUAGCUAGUUGGUGAGGUAACGGCUCACCAAGGCGAUGAUCAAUAGGGGAACUGAGAGGUUGAU